RNAcentral lists this ribosomal RNA (1214 nucleotides) under metagenome. RNAcentral describes it as "bacterial LSU rRNA". It matches the Rfam family "Bacterial large subunit ribosomal RNA", at positions 1585 to 2808 of the family's 2925-position model. The record is from RNAcentral.
UCGAAGCAGUCUAUGUCAUACUGCCAAGAAAAGCUUGCACUGUCAUAAACAAAUAAUGCCUGUACCAUAACCGACACAGGUGGGUAGGUAGAGUAUACUAAGGGGCGCGAGAUAACUCUCUCUAAGGAACUCGGCAAAAUGACUCCGUAACUUCGGGAGAAGGAGUGCCUUAUUUUAUAAGGUUGCAAUAACAAGAUCCAAGCAACUGUUUACCAAAAACACAGGUCUCCGCUAAGUCGUAAGACGAUGUAUGGGGGCUGACGCCUGCCCAGUGCCAGAAGGUUAAAGAAGUUGGUUAGCAUUAGCGAAGCUGAUAACUGAAGCCCUGGUGAACGGCGGCCGUAACUAUAACGGUCCUAAGGUAGCGAAAUUCCUUGUCGGGUAAGUUCCGACCCGCACGAAAGGCGUAAUGAUUUGGAUACUGUCUCGGAGAGGGGCUCGGUGAAAUAGACUUGUCUGUGAAGAUGCGGACUACCUGCACCAGGACAGAAAGACCCUAUGAAGCUUUACUGUAACUUGAGAUUGAAAUUGGACUUUAUUUGCGCAGUAUAGGUGGGAGACGUUGAAAAUAUUCUUGCGGGAAUAUUGGAGUCAUCAGUGAGAUACCACUCUUAUAAUGUUAGAUUUCUAACUUUGUAUCAUUAUCUGGUCAAAGAACAGUCUCAGGCGGGCAGUUUGACUGGGGCGGUCGCCUCCCAAACGGUAACGGAGGCGCACAAAGGUUUCCUCUGAACGUGUAGAAAUCGUAUCUAGAGUGUAAAGGCAUAAGGAAGCUUGACUGUGAGACCUACAAGUCGAGCAGGGACGAAAGUCGGUCUUAGUGAUCUGACGGUGCUGAGUGGAAAGGCCGUCACUCAACGGAUAAAAGUUACUCUAGGAUAACAGGCUGAUCUCCCCCAAGAGUUCACAUCGACGGGGAGGUUUGGCGCCUCGAUGUCGGCUCAUCGCAUCCUGGGGCGGUAGUACGUCCCAAGGGUUGGGCUGUUCGCCCAUGAAGGCGGUACACGAGCUGGGUUCAGAACGUCGUGAGACAGUUCGGUCCAUAUCCGGUGUAGGCGUUAGAAUAUUGAGAGGAGCCUUCUUUAGUACGAGAGGACCGAGAAGGACAUACCUCUGGUGUACCAGUUAUCGUGCCAACGGUAAACGCUGGGUAGCUAUGUAUGGAGAGGAUAACCGCUGAAAGCAUCUAAGUGGGAAGCCCACCUCAAGAUAAG